This 465-nucleotide ribosomal RNA is filed under the name uncultured Rheinheimera sp. Its description in RNAcentral is "bacterial SSU rRNA". It matches the Rfam family "Bacterial small subunit ribosomal RNA", at positions 30 to 488 of the family's 1533-position model. The record is from RNAcentral. Lineage: Bacteria; Pseudomonadati; Pseudomonadota; Gammaproteobacteria; Chromatiales; Chromatiaceae.
AUUGAACGCUGGCGGCAGGCCUAACACAUGCAAGUCGAGCGAAUGAGGGUAGCUUGCUACCUGAUUUAGCGGCGGACGGGUGAGUAAUGUAUAGGGAGCUGCCCGAUAGAGGGGGAUACCAGUUGGAAACGACUGUUAAUACCGCAUAAUGUCUACGGACCAAAGUGUGGGACCUUCGGGCCACAUGCUAUCGGAUGCACCUAUAUGGGAUUAGCUAGUUGGUGGGGUAACGGCUCACCAAGGCGACGAUCCCUAGCUGGUUUGAGAGGAUGAUCAGCCACACUGGAACUGAGACACGGUCCAGACUCCUACGGGAGGCAGCAGUGGGGAAUAUUGGACAAUGGGCGCAAGCCUGAUCCAGCCAUGCCGCGUGUGUGAAGAAGGCCUUCGGGUUGUAAAGCACUUUCAGAAGUGAGGAAGGGUGUGUAGUUAAUACCUACAUAUCUUGACGUUAGCUUCAGAAGA